This 253-nucleotide ribosomal RNA is filed under the name uncultured bacterium. RNAcentral's name for it is "partial 16S ribosomal RNA". It matches the Rfam family "Bacterial small subunit ribosomal RNA", at positions 524 to 776 of the family's 1533-position model. The record is from RNAcentral.
UACGAAGGGGGCUAGCGUUGCUCGGAAUCACUGGGCGUAAAGGGUGCGUAGGCGGGUCUUUAAGUCAGGGGUGAAAUCCUGGAGCUCAACUCCAGAACUGCCUUUGAUACUGAGGAUCUUGAGUCCGAGAGAGGUGAGUGGAACUGCGAGUGUAGAGGUGAAAUUCGUAGAUAUUAGCUAGAACACCAGUGGCGAAGGCGGCCAACUGGUCCGGUACUGACGCUGAGGUGCGAAAGCGUGGGGAGCAAACAGG